CUGAGUGUUGGUUUGGUAAACAAACCGCCUCCAACCCUUUGUUUAAAGAAAUUUACUUGUUUCGGCGGAUCGACUCCCGGUGCUUCUGCCCGGGAGCCCAUCGGUUCGCGGAUGCGUAUCCGCCGAACAAACAACUCUUGAACUUUUUGUCUAAGUAAAAUCUAAAAAAUUA
RNAcentral lists this unclassified non-coding RNA (172 nucleotides) under uncultured fungus. RNAcentral's name for it is "sequence contains ITS1, 5.8S rRNA gene". Lineage: Eukaryota; Fungi. The record is from RNAcentral.